UGCCAGCAGCCGCGGUAAUACGGAGGGGGUUAGCGUUGUUCGGAAUUACUGGGCGUAAAGCGCACGUAGGCGGAUCAGAAAGUAAGGGGUGAAAUCCCAGGGCUCAACCCUGGAACUGCCUUUCAUACUGGCGAUCUUGAGUUCGAGAGAGGUGAGUGGAAUUCCGAGUGUAGAGGUGAAAUUCGUAGAUAUUCGGAGGAACACCAGUGGCGAAGGCGGCUCACUGGCUCGAUACUGACGCUGAGGUGCGAAAGCGUGGGGAGCAAACAGGAUUAGAUA
This 279-nucleotide ribosomal RNA is filed under the name uncultured bacterium. Its description in RNAcentral is "partial 16S ribosomal RNA". It matches the Rfam family "Bacterial small subunit ribosomal RNA", at positions 506 to 784 of the family's 1533-position model. The record is from RNAcentral.